Molecule: ribosomal RNA, 509 nt
Filed under: uncultured bacterium
Lineage: Bacteria
Description: bacterial SSU rRNA
Rfam family: Bacterial small subunit ribosomal RNA
Source: RNAcentral
AAAGGGGGAAGGAAAGUCUGAAUCAGACAUGCCGCGUGCAGGAAGACAGCCCUAUGGGUUGUAAACUGCUUUUAUACAGGAAGAAACACUCCUACGUGUACGAGCUUGACGGUACUGUAAGAAUAAGGACCGGCUAACUCCGUGCCAGCAGCCGCGGUAAUACGGAGGGUCCGAGCGUUAUCCGGAAUCAUUGGGUUUAAAGGGUCCGCAGGCGGUCUUUUAAGUCAGAGGUGAAAUCCUACAGCUCAACUGUAGAACUGCCUUUGAUACUGAAAGACUUGAGUUAUUGUGAAGUGGUUAGAAUGUGUGGUGUAGCGGUGAAAUGCAUAGAUAUCACACAGAAUACCGAUUGCGAAGGCAGAUCACUAAAAAUAUACUGACGCUCAUGGACGAAAGCGUGGGGAGCGAACAGGAUUAGAUACCCUGGUAGUCCACGCCGUAAACGAUGGAUACUAGCUGUUCGUCAAACAUUGGUUAGAUGAGUGGCUAAGCGAAAGUGAUAAGUAUCC